Quercus robur (English oak) is the source of this 2346-nucleotide long non-coding RNA. RefSeq lists it as uncharacterized. The transcript has 8 exons. NCBI's taxonomy places the organism in Eukaryota, Viridiplantae, Streptophyta, Magnoliopsida, Fagales, Fagaceae. The record is from RefSeq and is a predicted model, not a curated record.
AAGUUUCUAAGUCAAUUAUAGUACUUUUGAUUGUUGAGUUUUUUUAGUCAUUAUUCUUUCUUUGUCUCUAAAAAAAUCAGGUUUCCUUUAUGUUUAAAUAUCUUCUAUUUUCUGUUUGGCAAUAUAUUCUUUUGAUAUACAAUAUAGGCUUUACCUUUUGGUGCUUAUCUUACAUGCAUCCCAUGUUCUAGGAUUGUGCCCUGUAUUGUGCCUUUUCUAAGAAAAUGUUUUACCUAUAAAAAUACAAAGUAGCAUACAAUGUAUACUUCUUUUUAGGGGGAUGUCUUCAUUUUCAUUUGUUGGCUAAUGUGUGUCCUCUGUCAUCGUCUCUUGCUCAGCUUCCUCCCAAUGCAGGUACAUCAAUUAUUGAUGGCUUGAAGAGAUUGUACAUUGAAAAGCCAAAGCCACUAGAAGUUGCAUAUAUUUUAUUUGGCUAGUUCCAUAUUAAUCUUUUAAACUAGAGGCUGUGGAUUGCAAAAUGGAGAUAUUUAGAUCUUUCUAGUUUUGCUGUCAAGUGUACACUCUAGAUUUUAAGGCCUCUAUAGCAGAGGAUUGAUUUUUAUUUGCAUUUUUGCAGACAAAAAGUGAUUUUGAUGCUAAACCCAUGGUCUUUUGGGUCAAUAUUCAACUGGAAAGACAAAUUUUAUAAAACAUUUGCUAAAAAUGAACUACCCAGGUGCUCACAUUGGACCAGAGCCUACAACAGAUAGAUUUGUUGUUGUUAUGAAUUUUUGGUCAUGGAAUCUUGCAUAGGUAAUUUCCUCUGAAACCUUUUGUUGCCAUAUAGGAAAAUUCCUCUCAUUUGCUCUCACAGUGUUUCUUAUUAGUUAGUUCUAUACAACUUAUAACCGUUUUAUCUUCCUUUGUUUGUUUUUGUCUUCUCCAUUUUCUUCUUGUGUUUCUUAAUAUGCUGUGUGAUUCCAUGGUAGUUGGCAUGGUCAUCUGUGGGUCCUUGUGAACGUUUUUUAGUUUUAAUUGACCAUACUUGACAAGUAUCCUUUAGUAUAUAUAUAAAAAGAUUACAAUAUGAAAAUAAUACUUGAACUAAAUGGGUGAUCUAGUCAUCUUUGGUUCCCUGCGAACAUUGUUUAGUUAGUUAGAUGAUUUGUUAAGCAUUAGCCGAUAGGAUUUAGACACUUGUCAACCAUCUAGAGGCUACCAAUGCCAAACAACUAGUAUAAGUAGUAGAAUGUAAGCUCUUUGUAAAUCAGUUUUGGUAAUUGAAUGAAUUGUUAGCCUUUGUGUGUUAUUUGGAACUAAGUGUUCUUGCAGAGGUACUUGUCCACCUAUCAAUGUGUUCUAAGUAACUCAGCCCUUUCAUUGCUUCUAAACCAUACACAAAUAGCCCAUCACAUUCCCUACAUCAAGAACGAACAAAAACACUUGGGACUUUUGGUGAUCUGUUAUCUGAGCAGUUUGUUCGACAUGGUGGCAUACCCUUGCCAAUAUUUUCUGAGUGGUGGCUAGCCAAAGAAAAGUUCUCUUUCAUUGAUUCUCUCUUCAUUUCCUGGUGCAACAUUCCAAGGAUGCAAUGGAUUGAGUGUGAAAUAUCAGAGCAUUGGUUACUUCCUCUAAACACUUGGCCUUGAACUGUUGCCUUCUCACAAAUUGACUCCUGUCACAGUUAAAGAGUGGUGGAGAAGUAUUAAAAUUCUCUAGUGUGAUACUUCUAGUUUUUUAGAACCUCUCUUGAGACCCUCCUCAGAAACUGUUGCUCUUGAUCCUGCUGAAGACAUAGAUGUGAAAACAGAAAGAAAUAGGGUACUUUCAGGCUAAAUUGAUAAUGCCAUCAUCUACUUGCGUAAUCUUCAGAAGGAGAAUGUUUUGGAUUUUUAGGAACAAAUGGAGCUGGGAAAACCACAACACUUUCAAAGCUGUCUGGAGAAGAAUCCCCAACUGAUGGAACUGCUUUUAUUUUUGGCAAAGAUAUAUAUGUUCCAAUCCCAGGGCUGCUUGUUGGCGUAUUGGGUAUUGCCCCUAAUUUGAUGCUCUAUUAGAAUUUUUGACUGUUUGAGAGCAUCUUGAGCUUUAGGCAAGAAUAAAAGGACUUCCAGAGUACAGGAUAGAUGAUGUAUGUAUUUUAGGUCAAACCUUAUAGUUCAUUUUACUCAUUAAGCUAAUGGUUAAAUCAGAAUCUGGUCUGCUCUUUGUAGCCACAACCAACUUAGAAUUUCUUCAUGUUUGAUUCGCUGGGAUUUGAUUGUGCAUCAAUGAAAUGUUUUUGUUCUGGGCUCAUUUUCCUCAGUUUCAGAUUGAGUGUAUUAGUUAGACAAUCUGGUUGGUUCUGUGUGUGUAUGAGAGAGAGAGAGAGAGAGAGAGAGAGAGAGAGAGAGAGAGAGAGAGAGA